RNAcentral lists this long non-coding RNA (1348 nucleotides) under Macaca mulatta (Rhesus monkey). Its description in RNAcentral is "lncRNA (ENSMMUG00000052394.1)". Lineage: Eukaryota; Metazoa; Chordata; Mammalia; Primates; Cercopithecidae. The record is from RNAcentral.
CUAGGGGAGGGAUAGCAAUAAGAGAAAUACCUAAUGUAGAUGAUGGGUUGAUGGGUACAGCAAACCACCACGGCACAUGUAUACCUAUGUAACAAACCUGCAUGUUCUUGCACGUGUACACCAGAACUUAAAGUAUAAUAAAAAAUAAUAAUAAUUUUAGCAAAUUGGGAUAGAAGCCCAAAUGAGGAAACUAUUUGUAGGAAUAUAGAAGGUCACAAAAAUAAUUUUGCAAAGUGAUAUCUGUCUGGAUGGGGGAACCUAGAAGUCAAAGCAAGUUUUAGAUGGGAAGACUGUGGUCAGAAUGAGUAGUACAGAAAAAGAGAGAUUUAAAGAGUUGAUAGCUACAGUUGCACGUAAUUCAUUUUUCUUCAAGCUAAGGGAAAGUAGAAUGCUUUGACAAUGGAAAUAAGAGAUAAGUUAAUUCUAGUGGUUACCAACAUGGACUUGAGGAUCACAUGACCUCAAUAUCUUCAUCUAUCAUAGAGGAAUUAUAACAAUGUUAAGCUAAUAAAGAUAUUUUGAGGAUUAAAUGAGUUAAUUCAUGUAUAAGACAUGGGGCAUAGCAAACAUUUGAUAAAUGCCACGCAUCAUCAUCAGGACAUAGCAAACAUUCAAUAAUACUAGUGAUAUGGUCAAUGUCACCGUUAAUAUGAAACUGAAAUUUUCUGACACUAACUCUAUACUACUCUUUAACUUUGCUUCUUUAUUUCUAAAACAAAUCAUUUCCGCUCAUUUCUCAGGUGCUUAAAUGAAUAGGAAAAUACUAUUUCUUCCUUCAGAGAGAUAGAAAAGGAAAUUUAUGAUUAAGAGACAAGAACCAGAAGCACUAAUAUGUAGUUUCCUUGAGGAAACUUACAGAGAUGCAAAGAAGAGGAUCUAUAAUUUACUUUCAAAGGAAAUUGGAUGGAAGCGAUAUUUGCCAGGCAAAAACCGUCAUGGUGCUGGGGAUGAUGUCUGUUUUCCUGAUCAAAAAAUAUUUGAAGUUUGGCAAAGUACUAAAACAAAUGGAGUUGUAUUUAAAAUAAUCCUUUAGGAAAUACACUGGCUGUCCAGUUAGAAGUCUCAUAUUCGCAGAAGUCUCUUUGGACAUAAAAUAUAAUGUCGUAAAGAAACUGUAGCUGAUGGGAGGGUAAGACCAUGCCUUCUAUGUCUUCAACAAGGAUCGGUUCCUAGUGUCAAGAAUCAGAGGUAUAUAUAGCUUAUUGUGUCCUGAUUUAAGCCAAUUAUAUGAGUUUUGUGAGUUUUUUUUAUUUUUUAAACUGGGAGAUUACUGACAUGUCAGAACACAGAAGUUUACAAAAAUCUUCUAGUCUUUAUUGUCUUAAAUCUGUAUUCAUUUAGUUCUCAU